GACGAACGCUGGCGGCGUGCUUAAUACAUGCAAGUGGAGCGACGAACCAGGCUUCGGCCUGGGGCAGAGCCGCGAACGGGUGAGUAACACGUGGGUAACCUGCCUCGAUGACCGGGACAACCCGGGGAAACCCGGGCUAAUACCGGAUGUGCUGUCCCCACAUCAGUGGAGACAGGAAAGGAGCUUCGGCCUCCGCAUCGAGAUGGGCCCNCGGCCCAUUAGCUUGUUGGUGUGGUAACGGCUCACCAAGGCUGCGAUGGGUAGCUGGUCUGAGAGGACGAUCAGCCACACUGGGACU
RNAcentral lists this ribosomal RNA (298 nucleotides) under uncultured bacterium. Its description in RNAcentral is "partial 16S ribosomal RNA". It matches the Rfam family "Bacterial small subunit ribosomal RNA", at positions 28 to 320 of the family's 1533-position model. The record is from RNAcentral.